Molecule: long non-coding RNA, 1643 nt
Filed under: Mus musculus (house mouse)
Lineage: Eukaryota; Metazoa; Chordata; Mammalia; Rodentia; Muridae
Description: long non-coding RNA chr1:72556548-72558191
Source: RNAcentral
GGGCAUAGCUGAAUUGGUCAGCCUGCUGGCUAUCCCUUAUCUGCACCACCAGGGCUUGUUCUCCAGCAUUUCUCUGGCUAGGCCACCCAGUGCCACUGUCAUCAAGAGGAAGGAUCAGCCCUCCUGCUGUCAUGCCCUUGGGACUGACUCACCCCACACCACACCUCCAGGGCCAGCUCCACUGUGCUGCCCAGGCAAGGCAUGGGCCCAUGAAUGACUAUUCUUUAGACUCAUGAAAAAUUUGAUAUAAUCUAAUCACGUUUUACCUUAUUGUGACAAUCUAGUAUGAAUGGUUCUUUACUUAUCAACUGCCUCUUAUAUCAUUCAAUAAACUUAGAGAAACCAGGUGGCAUAUACAGUAAGAUACUUUCUAAUGGAGUACUAAUUACACAUAGGUAGGUAGGAAAAGGGGAACUGAUGGGAAAUUUUGAGUUAUUCAAAAAGGUACCAUUUGGCUAUCUUUAGACCCAGUGAACAAAAGAAGAAAGUGAUGGCCUAGGAGGACUGUCCCAUAGAAGUGUAAGUCAUAGUGGCAUGUAGCUACUGCCAGAACUCCGACAAAUCAGGCAGGAAAAAAAAAAAAGAGGAAUACAUAGCCCAAUCUCUCUUCUCCCUCUUAUCUUAUCUCUAUUGGCCAAACUCAGCUGAAGCUACAGGACACGGGGACUCUGCGGACUCUGGGGACUCUGGGUCAUAGAGAUCAACGUCCAAGGCAAAGAGGUCAUCUAGACUGGGAACAAAUAAUACUUGUAUUAUUUGUUAUUAUUGGGAACAAAUGAAGAACUUUGCAUCCCAUCUUCCCACUGCUACCCUUCUUAUCUGCCUUCUUCCCUCUCUCCUCCUUUUCUGUUCCUAGUUAGUUCAGGGGUGGAUAUGUGACCAAGGCAACUACAUUGGUGUAUUCUAAUAUCACAAAAUAUCAUGGGAUUUUGAUAGAAAUGCUAGUACAUAGACCAGUUUUCUCCUAGACUGAAAGAUCUUGAGGCUGACUGGCUCCAUAUUAGCUAUUUCCCCCAGGUGACUGUCUAAGCCAGGACUUCUCCAACUUUGCACCACUGACACUUUUGACAAGGUCGUUCUUUGGAGUCCAGUUCUGGAGAUGGGUUUUAAACUGUGGGGUAUUCAGCCACAACCCUGACCUCUUCAAGCUAGAUACCGUAUCACCCAGCUCUACUGAACUGUGAGAGUAGAACUGUCUCUUGCAUUCUCAGACACCCCCACUGGGGCGGAGUCUUAUUCCUGGUAAUAAAUAAACAAACAAAGCAAGCUUGGUGGUGCUGGUGGUGGCGGUGCACACCUUUAGUCCCAGCACUCUGGAGGCAAUUCCACCAACUUGGGACCAAAUGGUCAGAUAUAUGAGUCUAUGGGGGUCACUCUCAUUCACAUAACCACACUGCCACAUACCUUUGUUUUUCUAAACAAAGCAAAGAGACCGUGAUCGGACUGAUACAGACAGAAGAGGAACGGAGCCCUUGGCAUGAGAAAACAUCUCAGAGCAGACAAGACGAUAGUGAAAGGCCUGUCUACUCAACCCAAUCUGAACCUUGCACCAGUAUCAGGGAUGAAUGACCCCUACUGGGCUUCUUCUAUACGAGCCAACAAAGUGGAAUGAAGCGCUACUUAGUACCCUUCCUACUUUUCCC